AUGAAGACCAGGUUGAACUGCACCAGCACGCAGGGCAGGAGGGCGAAGAGCAGGGUCAGCGCCUGCCAGAUGCGGUCCCCCGCCGAGCGAAACACUGACAUCUGCAGACAAGCUGUUUACUUGCCUACUUCUUAAAAGCUACAAUAAAGUUUGCAACAGGGGACCCAGCAGGACACAAAACAGCAAUGUCUUCUGGAUGGAUGUGAGAAGCCCUGUAUUACAGACAUGAUUAAGCAGGUGAUCCCAAAACAGGAGCCUGAAUGGAAAGAGUGUGAGAUGUGGGCUCUCCAAGGAAACUAGAGGCCUCCUGUUUGGAUUGGAAGGCUUCACGGUUACAAAGAUGGCAAGGGCCUAAUCCUCCACAAUGUUACUUCUGUUUGAUUGGUAUACAACUUUCGUACUACAGUAGAAGUAUUUUGCUGUCUGCAUCCCUUCCAAACAGUGGCAGCCACAUCACAUUUUUGACACCAUUCCCUGAAGUACUGAUUCUCAAGUGAUACCGUCUAGAAUGGCACUGCACUGUUGCUAAUGCAGACUGGCUGAUGCUUUAACAUCACUAAGAAGAGAAAGGCAGAACAUACAGACUGAUGACAGACAGAGAGGGAGAGGCAAAAAAACAAGAAAGCCAAGCAAUAGCCUGUGAGCACAGUAUGAACUUGGAAUAAUUUAGAGAAGGGGUUUCUGGGUCUGCUGGUUACAGAGGCUGAACGCUCAGAUACUGCUCCUUUUGUUUUUGAUUUCUCCUGUAUUCAGAGAAGCAGAACUUUGUGCAUUUCUUGUAAAUAAACAAGAUUGCAUCAAA
This is a long non-coding RNA of Gopherus flavomarginatus (Mexican gopher tortoise), 802 nucleotides long. RefSeq lists it as uncharacterized. The transcript has 4 exons. The record is from RefSeq and is a predicted model, not a curated record. NCBI's taxonomy places the organism in Eukaryota, Metazoa, Chordata, Testudines, Testudinidae.